This 279-nucleotide long non-coding RNA is filed under the name Mytilus galloprovincialis (Mediterranean mussel). Lineage: Eukaryota; Metazoa; Mollusca; Bivalvia; Mytilida; Mytilidae. The record is from RNAcentral.
CCUUUGGUUACAUCUUCUGACAUCAGACUCGGACUUCUCUUGAACUGAAUUUUAAUGUGCGUAUUGUUAUGCGUUUACUUUUCUACAUUGACUAGAGGUAUAGGGGGAGGGUUGAGAUCUCAAAAACAUGUUUAACCCCGCCGCAUUUUUGCGCCUGUCCCAAGUCAGGAGCCUCUGGCCUUUGUUAGUCUUGUAUUAUUUUAAUUUUAGUUUCUUGUGUACAAUUUGGAAAUUAGUAUGGCGUUCAUUAUCACUGAACUAGUAUAUAUUUGUUUAGGG